RNAcentral lists this ribosomal RNA (421 nucleotides) under Verrucomicrobiota bacterium. Its description in RNAcentral is "Verrucomicrobia bacterium partial 16S ribosomal RNA". It matches the Rfam family "Bacterial small subunit ribosomal RNA", at positions 355 to 775 of the family's 1533-position model. The record is from RNAcentral. Lineage: Bacteria; Pseudomonadati; Verrucomicrobiota.
UGGGGAAUUUUGCACAAUGGGCGCAAGCCUGAUGCAGCGACGCCGCGUGAGGGAUGAAGGCCUUCGGGUUGUAAACCUUUUUCGCUCAUGGUCAAGCCGCAGCUUUGGGUUGUGGUGAGGGUAGUGGGUAAAGAAGCGCCGGCUAACUACGUGCCAGCAGCCGCGGUAAUACGUAGGGCGCGAGCGUUGUCCGGAAUUAUUGGGCGUAAAGGGCUUGUAGGCGGUUGGCCGCGUCUGCCGUGAAAUCCUCUGGCUUAACUGGGGGCGUGCGGUGGGUACGGGUUGACUUGAGUGCGGUAGGGGAGACUGGAAUUCCUGGUGUAGCGGUGGAAUGCGCAGAUAUCAGGAGGAACACCGGUGGCGAAGGCGGGUAUCUGGGCCGUUACUGACGCUGAGGAGCGAAAGCGUGGGGAGCGAACAG